CAGCAGCCGCGGGAAUACGAAGGGUGCAAGCGUUAAUCGGAAUUACUGGGCGUAAAGCGCACGUAGGCGGAUCGAUCAGUCAGGGGUGAAAUCCUGGAGCUCAACUCCAGAACUGCCUUUGAUACUGUCGAUCACGAGUCCGGAAGAGGUGAGUGGAACUCCUAGUGUAGAGGUGCAAUUCGUAGAUAUUAGGAAGAACACCAGUGGCGAAGGCGGCUCACUGGUCCGGUACUGACGCUGAGGUGCGAAAGCGUGGGGAGCAAACAGGAUUAGAGACCCCUGUAGUCCCUGUCUCUUAUAC
Molecule: ribosomal RNA, 301 nt
Filed under: uncultured bacterium
Lineage: Bacteria
Description: partial 16S ribosomal RNA
Rfam family: Bacterial small subunit ribosomal RNA
Source: RNAcentral